Molecule: long non-coding RNA, 2769 nt
Organism: Cavia porcellus (domestic guinea pig)
Lineage: Eukaryota; Metazoa; Chordata; Mammalia; Rodentia; Caviidae
Exons: 2
Source: RefSeq, a predicted model, not a curated record
GUCCCGGACGUGACCUCCACAUUCUGGGCCGGACACAGAUAUUACUUUUAUAGGCUAAAAACACAGAUCGCUUUAAUCAGCUGUAAAACAACACAGUGAACAGUCACUUCUCUUAUUUAAAAGUUUAACUUUACUUUCAUCAAUUUAUAAUCAGAGUUCUUCUGGUAUGUUUGAUUCCUGACAAACAAGGAUUAAAGUCUGGUGCCCCCGUCGCUAAUGAGAUGAUAAAACAGCAGGAACCGAGUUUUUAAUUACUGCAGGCGAUACACUGGAGAGGUACCCACCAUCCUUCCCAUCGCAUGUCUGAGCUGUAACUUCAGGCUUAUGACAGUCCUGCUGAGAUCCCCGGCCUUUGAUGAUCACUCAUUUUCGUCUCCUGAGAACGUACAAAAAUUUCUGAGCUGGAAUCCUGGGGGGCUGGCAAUUAUUGGCAUAACCUGGCUCAGGUUCACCUCCGCGGCCAUCGCGGCUCAGUACGGAUCCGGUUUCCCAGUGCCGGCCACUGCAGCAGGGGAGAUGGACGCUGGAAACAGCCGCGCUGCCCCCGCUCCGCCGCGGCCCGGUCAUGCGCUGCCAGCGUGGGCUUCCCAUGGAUAACAGAGCGCUUAAUUGGAGCGGGCGAUCUCCAGUAUACACUUUUCCAUUUCUUUUCAAAGUCACGCUUGAAAUUUUUUAACAAACCUUAUUUUUAUACUCAUGGAGAGACAGACUGUACGUGUCGUUCCGUGUUUUUUCCAAGCACGCGCCCUUUGUUGCAGGAGACGGAGGUCCUUGGGGGCUCUCCCCGGGGCCCUCUGUCCUGUGCCCUCCACUUCGGGAAGGCAUUGACUGAAUCUGGACGGUGAGGCCUCCGCCACGGUGGACCACAAACCUAAAAUCGCGCCUUGGGCUGUGACGCAGGACAAGUCCACGGAGGAAAAGAGGCGGCAGAGACAGGUUGGCUCCGUCCCCACGGAGAGGUUGUGGAGGUCAUCAAAAGUGGGCGCUGUAGACCAGACUGCGGGUUCAAGCCCGCUCACCUCUGCUACGUGAACCCCUCUCAGGACCUCUGUUUAUGAAGUGGGGUGACCUGGCGCCCCAUCCAUCCCACGGCUGCUUUGGCUCCAUCAACAGAUCACAGAGUGCCUCAGCCAACAGCACCCUGGAAACUCGAAGGUUAGCCCUUGAUUUUCUCAUCUGCUGAAAAACCCAGGCUGAGCGGGGUGGGAAGGUGCGGUACAGUGGCGUGAGCUGCCUCAGCCUCUGGGAGAAAACCCCUGGCCUGGGCAAGAGACUGAAGGAGGAGGAGCCUGGCUCACGCCCCUGCAACACUGAGGUGUCCAACACCAAGCAGUAACCUCCGCAGAGGUCAAGAGGCUCGAGACAAUUCCUAAAGGUUACAGUUUGAUCAAAGACGUCCAGGGCAAAACCAGGGAGAAGGGCAGUGCACAGCCACCUCUGCGUGCUCCACUUGGAGAAUGUGUUUAAGGGUGUGCACAUAGACAGACACACAGGCAGACAGACAGGAAGACAAGCAGACGGACAAGCAGCCAGGAGAAAGGCAGGUGAUGGACAGAUGAACAGACAGAGAGAUGGACAGGCAGACCCAUGUGUGGACACAGAGGACCCCGCAGGGCGCCUGGACCAGGCGCAGGGUUCCGCGGGCGGGAGGGAUGGGUGACCGUCAGGGUGGACGGCAGUUCUCUGGCCGCCCGUGUGGGACUUCUCGAAUCUGCUGUCCUGUGCCACACUAAGGUAAUUCUUGGAACAUUAGAAUACAGAACAGAAAUAAACUAGCUGCCUGGAGCAAAGAUUUCAUCCACGCUAAGCCAUGCCCGAAUCUCCUGGGUGAGGUGAGGUGAAUCUGCCCACUGGUCCUCGUCCAGAGGAGACAGGAGGUUGACAGGUCAGGGGCUGUCUCCUCCGCCUGGAGUCCCACCUGGGGACACCGAUGGCCCAAACUGACCCACAUUGACCAGGGGAAGGGAAAUAAGAGGGUGUUUACCGAGUGUCUGCCAGGGCAGGGCUGGGGGCCAGGCAAGAAUGUGCCCUUUUGUGUGGGGAAGGACGUGCUCCCUGGCGCUCCCUGGCAGAGUAAGCACUCGGUACACACGAGUCCUGGGUUCGAUCCUGAGCACCACUGCCUUGAUGAGGUAGCUGAGUCACCCUUCAGAAACCAGAAAGGAGCAUCUCAAGUAACAACGGCAACCUUCGGUGGCCCUGGGAGACCCUGGCAGGAGAAGCAGCAGCAGAGGUCGGAGGGUCCUGGGCCUCUCGGGAACUCGGGAAGACCCCGUGCCAGGUGAACUAGUGAAUGAGUGCAAGGGGAGAGGUCCUUCAUUCUGGCUCUGCGUGUAAAAGCAAACGUGCAGAUUUAAAAAAGAAUUUGCUCUGUGCCGUCUCUGGAAACGGGAACAUUCAUCUUCUGCAAAGUCACGGUCAAGGAGAGGGCGGGGUUGUUGGCAAAUAUAUCUCAGGGUUCCUUACAGGUACCUGCGAACGGCAAGGAGCCCAACGGACUCAAAUAAUUAAACAGUCUCGUUAGCAAAGCGCUGCGGACAGUGGUCACUGACUCCUCCGCCCGCAACAUGAAAGUCCUCACCAGGGGUGCGCGGGGGCGGCCCAGGCGUCCUCUCUGUCCCUGCCCGUGGACAGUCACGCCCAGGCACACUCACAGCCCAGCGCCGGCGUGUGAUGUGUCCCCCUGCUAUGUUAAAAAUGCAUUCCUAUUUUUUCAAGCAUGCUUCGAUUAAAGAGGGCACAUCUGUUUUAAGUCCCCUUUUAUGAAAA